Molecule: ribosomal RNA, 253 nt
Filed under: uncultured bacterium
Lineage: Bacteria
Description: partial 16S ribosomal RNA
Rfam family: Bacterial small subunit ribosomal RNA
Source: RNAcentral
UACAGAGGAUGCAAGCGUUGUCCGGAAUUAUUGGGCGUAAAGAGCUCGUAGGCGGCUUGUCACGUCGACUGUGAAAACCCGGGGCUCAACUCCGGGCCUGCAGUCGAUACGGGCUGGCUUGAGUGCGGUAGGGGAGACUGGAGUUCCUGGUGUAGCGGUGAAAUGCGCAGAUAUCAGGAGGAACACCGGUGGCGAAGGCGGGUCUCUGGGCCGUAACUGACGCUGAGGAGCGAAAGCGUGGGGAGCGAACAGG